Molecule: non-coding RNA, 97 nt
Filed under: Hydrocarboniphaga daqingensis
Lineage: Bacteria; Pseudomonadati; Pseudomonadota; Gammaproteobacteria; Nevskiales; Nevskiaceae
Description: Glycine sequence
Rfam family: Glycine riboswitch aptamer
About the family: This family represents the bacterial glycine riboswitch. Glycine riboswitches usually consist of two metabolite-binding aptamers domains with similar structures in tandem. The aptamers cooperatively bind glycine to regulate the expression of downstream genes.
Source: Rfam by way of RNAcentral
ACAGACCUCGCGAAAGAGACCGUCCAGCUGUCAUGGGCGGCGCCGAAGGCGCAAAUCCGCCCGGAAUCGCUCAGGCACCAAGGAUUGCGUGGUCUGC